GAUGAACGCUGGCGGCGUGCCUAAUACAUGCAAGUCGAGCGAACGGACGAGAAGCUUGCUUUUCUGAUGUUAGCGGCGGACGGGUGAGUAACACGUGGAUAACCUACCUAUAAGACUGGGAUAACUUCGGGAAACCGGAGCUAAUACCGGAUAAUAUUUUGAACCGCAUGGUUCAAAAGUGAAAGACGGUCUUGCUGUCACUUAUAGAUGGAUCCGCGCUGCAUUAGCUAGUUGGUAAGGUAACGGCUUACCAAGGCAACGAUGCAUAGCCGACCUGAGAGGGUGAUCGGUCACACUGGAACUGAGACACGGUCCAGACUCCUACGGGAGGCAGCAGUAGGGAAUCUUCCGCAAUGGGCGAAAGCCUGACGGAGCAACGCCGCGUGAGUGAUGAAGGUCUUCGGAUCGUAAAACUCUGUUAUUAGGGAAGAACAUAUGUGUAAGUAACUGUGCACAUCUUGACGGUACCUAAUCAGAAAGCCACGGCUAACUACGU
RNAcentral lists this ribosomal RNA (496 nucleotides) under uncultured bacterium. RNAcentral's name for it is "partial 16S ribosomal RNA". It matches the Rfam family "Bacterial small subunit ribosomal RNA", at positions 28 to 506 of the family's 1533-position model. The record is from RNAcentral.